AGAGUUUGAUCAUGGCUCAGGACGAACGCUGGCGGCGUGCUUAACACAUGCAAGUCAAGGGGGCCCGCAAGGGUAACCGGCGAACGGGUGCGUAACACGUGAGCGACCUGCCGAUCUGCGGGGGAUAGCCGGCCCAACGGCCGGGUAAUACCGCAUACGCUCUCCCUGGGGCAUCCUGGGGUGAGGAAACUUCCGGGGCGGAUCGAGGGGCUCGCGGCCUAUCAGCUAGUUGGCGAGGUAACGGCUCACCAAGGCGACGACGGGUAGCUGGUCUGAGAGGAUGGCCAGCCACAUUGGGACUGAGAAACGGCCCAGACUCCUACGGGGGGCAGCAGUGGGGAAUAUUGCGCAAUGGCCGCAAGGCUGACGCAGCGACGCCGCGUGUGGGAGGACGCCUUUCGGGGUGUAAACCACUGUUGCCCGGGACGAACACCUGGCUUUCGCCAGGCUGACGGUACCGGGUGAGGAAGCACCGGCUAACUCCGUGCCAGCAGCCGCGGUAAUACGGAGGGUGCGAGCGUUGUCCGGAAUCACUGGGCGUAAAGGGCGCGCAGGCGGUCGGGCAAGCGUGCGGUGAAAGCUCGGGGCUCAACCCCGAGUCGGCCGUGCGAACUGCUGGACUGGAGCCUGUCAGAGGCGGGUGGAAUUCCGGGUGUAGCGGUGGAAUGCAGAGAUCCGGAAGAACACCGGUGGCGAAGGCGGCCCGCUGGGACAGAGCUGACGCUGAGGCGCGACAGCGUGGGGAGCAAACAGGAUUAGAUACCCUAGUAGUCC
This 774-nucleotide ribosomal RNA is filed under the name uncultured bacterium. RNAcentral's name for it is "bacterial SSU rRNA". It matches the Rfam family "Bacterial small subunit ribosomal RNA", at positions 8 to 796 of the family's 1533-position model. The record is from RNAcentral.